Molecule: transfer RNA, 66 nt
Filed under: Ophiophagus hannah (king cobra)
Lineage: Eukaryota; Metazoa; Chordata; Lepidosauria; Squamata; Elapidae
Description: tRNA-Ile
Source: RNAcentral
GGAAGUGUGCCCGAGUAAGGACUACAUUGAUAGCGUAGACACGGAGCCCACAAACUCCCGCUUCCC